RNAcentral lists this unclassified non-coding RNA (323 nucleotides) under Hevea brasiliensis (rubber tree). The record is from RNAcentral. Lineage: Eukaryota; Viridiplantae; Streptophyta; Magnoliopsida; Malpighiales; Euphorbiaceae.
AUUUGCUUCAGCAGAUCUCCUCCAUCACUGCUCCCCAUUGUCUAGAAGGCAAUUAACUGCUAUAAUUGCUCAAUAGCCAGCAAAGGCUUCUUCCUAAGGGUCUUCCCAUUCAUCAGUUCUUAACCCCAAUCGACCAUGAUUGAUAACUGUAUUUCAGCAAUCAGUUUCAAAAACUCCUCUUCUUUGAUACCGGCGGCAGUCGUCGUCCGGUGUGGAGGUCGCGGCGGCGCUGGCGUACGAGACUGGGGUGAGGGAGAGAUGGCUGGAAGAGAGAGAGAUACUGUGCGGGAGAGAGACGCACGAGGGGGUGAGGGAGGGCGGGG